AAAGACUUCCACAGAAUGAGAGGGUUUCCCAGGGUCUGAAUGGAGACCUUUAUUUUUCCAAUGUUCUCCCAGAGGAUUCCCGCGAAGACUAUAUCUGUUACGCCAGAUUUAACCACACUCAAACCAUACAGCAGAAGCAACCUAUUUCUGUGAAGGUGAUUUUAGUGGAUGAAUUGAAUGACACUAUAGCUGCUAAUUUGAGUGACACUGAGGUUUAUGGUGCUAAAUCAAGUAGAGAGAGGCCACCAACAUUUUUAACUCCACAAGGCAAUGCAA
Myotis brandtii (Brandt's bat) is the source of this 276-nucleotide long non-coding RNA. RefSeq lists it as uncharacterized. The transcript is spliced from 3 exons. The record is from RefSeq and is a predicted model, not a curated record. NCBI's taxonomy places the organism in Eukaryota, Metazoa, Chordata, Mammalia, Chiroptera, Vespertilionidae.